AGUCAUAGCAAACAGCCUUGAGGCAUCCCCUGAGAUACCAUCCAGACAUAUAAUCAAUGUGAGCUGUCCUUUUAUGGCUUCAGAGAAUAGUGAGCAAGAUUCAUUCCUUCAAAAUGGUGACAUCUGUGAAAGCUGUGGCCUUAUUUGGACAUGUUUUAUCCUGGAAUGAUAACACAAAGAAGGUGGGAUCUGUUCAACUGGAGAGAGUAUCCAGCCCAUGGAAACAGAAUUUGUGCCAGUGGAAAACCUUGGAUUAAUUCCAGUCAUACAUCAGCUUAAUUCUUCAUUCAUCAUAAGAUCAUGGAAGAAUCAAACAUCAAACACAUAAGCUGAAAUAUUCUUCUCGAUGACUUAGAGGAACAACAUGUUCUAGUAAUUGGCUUUCUUGUAUAAUGAAGAUUUCUCAAGUUGAAUACAUAAUCUUCCAGUUACCAAAAAAAAAAAAAAAUGUAGCAAAGAAGGCCUGGUUUAGCAGUUGUUGUUUUAACACUUUCCACGAGAAAACAUUUUCUGGUGCAGUUCUUUCCCUAAGUGUUUGACUUUACAUUUCCUGAGCUCCUUUGCUAUUUUUAAAAUUGCUCUGGGAAAGCCUGUGAGAGCAGUUUGGGUGGCCACUGAGAAUCCCUUCAGUGCCAUAUUUUUAAUGGCCAAACCAGCAGAUUUCACCAUUUGUGUUUCUUGUAUUUGGUCCUGGCUCCUUUCCCUUCUGCCACAAAUAAAGGUAAUUUGUGCUAGGAACAGGCAUCAACUCAAGCAAGCAGUUAAUCACACUUCAACAGCAUGCACAUUAUUAGCUUAUCAGGCAGAACCAUCCCAUCUCCCAUCAUGUUUUAUCUGUUUAUGAAGAAAAUGCCUUCCAUAAUUAUAAUUAAGAAACCAGAAUGACUCAGAGUUUGGAGGUGUCAGUAAGAAUAUAUUUUGUGCAGCCAAACUCCCUGUGUCUUGUGUGCAAAUGUGUCACA
Molecule: non-coding RNA, 962 nt
Organism: Lonchura striata (white-rumped munia)
Lineage: Eukaryota; Metazoa; Chordata; Aves; Passeriformes; Estrildidae
Source: RefSeq, a predicted model, not a curated record